UGGGGAAUAUUGCACAAUGGGCGCAAGCCUGAUGCAGCCAUGCCGCGUGUGUGAAGAAGGCCUUCGGGUUGUAAAGCACUUUCAGCGAGGAGGAAGGUGGUGAGCUUAAUACGCUCAUCAAUUGACGUUACUCGCAGAAGAAGCACCGGCUAACUCCGUGCCAGCAGCCGCGGUAAUACGGAGGGUGCAAGCGUUAAUCGGAAUUACUGGGCGUAAAGCGCACGCAGGCGGUUUGUUAAGUCAGAUGUGAAAUCCCCGGGCUCAACCUGGGAACUGCAUUUGAAACUGGCAAGCUAGAGUCUCGUAGAGGGGGGUAGAAUUCCAGGUGUAGCGGUGAAAUGCGUAGAGAUCUGGAGGAAUACCGGUGGCGAAGGCGGCCCCCCUGGACGAAGACUGACGCUCAGGUGCGAAAGCGUGGGGCAGCAAACAGGAUUAGAUACCCUGGUAGUCCAGCGCUGUAAACGAUGUCGAUUUUGGAGGUUGUGCCCUUGAGGCGUGGCUUCCGGAGCUAACGCGUUAAAUCGACCGCCUGGGGAGUACGGCCGCAAGGUUAAAACUCAAAUGAAUUGAC
This 571-nucleotide ribosomal RNA is filed under the name uncultured bacterium. Its description in RNAcentral is "partial 16S ribosomal RNA". It matches the Rfam family "Bacterial small subunit ribosomal RNA", at positions 355 to 914 of the family's 1533-position model. The record is from RNAcentral.